GAGUUUGAUCAUGGCUCAGAUUGAACGCUGGCGGCAGGCUUAACACAUGCAAGUCGAGCGGAGAGAGGUAGCUUGCUACUGAUCUUAGCGGCGGACGGGUGAGUAAUGCUUAGGAAUCUGCCUAUUAGUGGGGGACAACAUUUCGAAAGGAAUGCUAAUACCGCAUACGUCCUACGGGAGAAAGCAGGGGAUCUUCGGACCUUGCGCUAAUAGAUGAGCCUAAGUCGGAUUAGCUAGUUGGUGGGGUAAAGGCCUACCAAGGCGACGAUCUGUAGCGGGUCUGAGAGGAUGAUCCGCCACACUGGGACUGAGACACGGCCCAGACUCCUACGGGAGGCAGCAGUGGGGAAUAUUGGACAAUGGGCGCAAGCCUGAUCCAGCCAUGCCGCGUGUGUGAAGAAGGCCUUAUGGUUGUAAAGCACUUUAAGCGAGGAGGAGGCUACUUUAGAUAAUACCUAGAGAUAGUGGACGUUACUCGCAGAAUAAGCACCGGCUAACUCUGUGCCAGCCGCCGCGGUAAUUC
This 523-nucleotide ribosomal RNA is filed under the name Acinetobacter sp. GLB1. RNAcentral describes it as "bacterial SSU rRNA". It matches the Rfam family "Bacterial small subunit ribosomal RNA", at positions 9 to 526 of the family's 1533-position model. The record is from RNAcentral. Lineage: Bacteria; Pseudomonadati; Pseudomonadota; Gammaproteobacteria; Moraxellales; Moraxellaceae.